AGAGUUUGAUCCUGGCUCAGAUUGAACGCUGGCGGCAUGCUUUACACAUGCAAGUCGGACGGCAGCACAGAGAAGCUUGCUUCUUGGGUGGCGAGUGGCGAACGGGUGAGUAAUAUAUCGGAACGUACCGAGUAAUGGGGGAUAACUAAUCGAAAGAUUAGCUAAUACCGCAUAUUCUCUGAGGAGGAAAGCAGGGGACCUUCGGGCCUUGCGUUAUUCGAGCGGCCGAUAUCUGAUUAGCUAGUUGGUGGGGUAAAGGCCUACCAAGGCGACGAUCAGUAGCGGGUCUGAGAGGAUGAUCUGCCACACUGGGACUGAGACACGGCCCAGACUCCUACGGGAGGCAGCAGUGGGGAAUUUUGGACAAUGGGCGCAAGCCUGAUCCAGCCAUGCCGCGUGUCUGAAGAAGGCCUUCGGGUUGUAAAGGACUUUUGUCAGGGAAGAAAAGGGCGGGGUUAAUACCCCUGUCUGAUGACGGUACCUGAAGAAUAAGCACCGGCUAACUACGUGCCAGCAGCCGCGGUAAUACGUAGGGUGCGAGCGUUAAUCGGAAUUACUGGGCGUAAAGCGGGCGCAGACGGUUACUUAAGCAGGAUGUGAAAUCCCCGGGCUCAACCUGGGAACUGCGUUCUGAACUGGGUGACUAGAGUGUGUCAGAGGGAGGUAGAAUUCCACGUGUAGCAGUGAAAUGCGUAGAGAUGUGGAGGAAUACCGAUGGCGAAGGCAGCCUCCUGGGAUAACACUGACGUUCAUGCCCGAAAGCGUGGGUAGCAAACAGGAUUAGAUACCCUGGUAGUCCACGCCCUAAAC
This 810-nucleotide ribosomal RNA is filed under the name uncultured bacterium. Its description in RNAcentral is "bacterial SSU rRNA". It matches the Rfam family "Bacterial small subunit ribosomal RNA", at positions 8 to 807 of the family's 1533-position model. The record is from RNAcentral.